RNAcentral lists this ribosomal RNA (403 nucleotides) under uncultured bacterium. RNAcentral's name for it is "bacterial SSU rRNA". It matches the Rfam family "Bacterial small subunit ribosomal RNA", at positions 356 to 773 of the family's 1533-position model. The record is from RNAcentral.
GGGGAAUAUUGGGCAAUGGGCGCAAGCCUGACCCAGCAACGCCGCGUGAGGGAAGAAGGUCUUCGGAUUGUAAACCUCUGUCCUUGGGGACGAAAAAAAUGACGGUACCCAAGGAGGAAGCUCCGGCUAACUACGUGCCAGCAGCCGCGGUAAUACGUAGGGAGCGAGCGUUGUCCGGAAUUACUGGGCGUAAAGGGUGCGUAGGCGGCCAGGCAAGUCAGAUGUGAAAUCCCCGGGCUUAACUCGGGAGUUGCAUUUGAAACUGCUUGGCUUGAGUGCAGGAGAGGAAAGCGGAAUUCCUAGUGUAGCGGUGAAAUGCGUAGAUAUUAGGAGGAACAUCAGUGGCGAAGGCGGCUUUCUGGACUGUAACUGACGCUGAGGCACGAAAGCGUGGGGAGCAAAC